GACGAACGCUGGCGGCGUGCUUAACACAUGCAAGUCGAACGAUGAAGAAGAGAAACGCGAACUUCGGUUCAAAUUUCACUUCGGAUUAGUGGCAGACGGGUGAGUAACGCGUGAGCAACCUACCUCUUACAAAGGGAUAGCCUCGGGAAACCGUGAUUAAUAUCAUAUGACACAUUCAUAAGGCAUCUUAAGAAUGUUAAAGCUACGGCGGUAAGAGAUGGGCUCGCGUCCCAUUAGCUAGUUGGUGAGGUAACGGCCCACCAAGGCGACGAUGGGUAACCGGCCUGAGAGGGUGAACGGUCACAUUGGAACUGAGACACGGUCCAAACUCCUACGGGAGGCAGCAGUGGGGAAUAUUGCACAAUGGAGGGAACUCUGAUGCAGCGACGCCGCGUGAGCGAUGAAGGAAUUCGUUUCGUAAAGCUCUGUUCUAUGGGAAGAAAAGGACUGUACCAUAGGAGAAAGCCCCGGCUAAAUACGUG
RNAcentral lists this ribosomal RNA (482 nucleotides) under uncultured bacterium. RNAcentral describes it as "partial 16S ribosomal RNA". It matches the Rfam family "Bacterial small subunit ribosomal RNA", at positions 28 to 507 of the family's 1533-position model. The record is from RNAcentral.